GGGGGUGACAGGUUUCGACGAUCAGAUGUCUGAUCCCGGAGAAGCGUGCCGAGGACAUCGGCUUAUCUCGUUAACGAUGCUGAUAAACAAAUAACUGCCAAAAAGACGCAGUCCGAGUUCGCACUCGCCGCCUGAGGCGAGUAGC
This 145-nucleotide transfer-messenger RNA is filed under the name Candidatus Nanopelagicales bacterium. RNAcentral describes it as "partial transfer-messenger RNA". It matches the Rfam family "transfer-messenger RNA", at positions 1 to 143 of the family's 374-position model. From Rfam's summary of the family: Bacterial tmRNA, also known as 10Sa RNA or SsrA, is named for its dual tRNA and mRNA-like properties. Its role is to liberate the mRNA from a stalled ribosome. Lineage: Bacteria; Bacillati; Actinomycetota; Actinomycetes; Candidatus Nanopelagicales. The record is from RNAcentral.